Molecule: ribosomal RNA, 598 nt
Filed under: Alternaria brassicicola
Lineage: Eukaryota; Fungi; Ascomycota; Dothideomycetes; Pleosporales; Pleosporaceae
Description: eukaryotic LSU rRNA
Rfam family: 5.8S ribosomal RNA (bases 222-375)
Source: RNAcentral
GGAAGUAAAAGUCGUAACAAGGUCUCCGUAGGUGAACCUGCGGAGGGAUCAUUACACAAAUAUGAAGGCGGGCUGGAACCUCUCGGGGUUACAGCCUUGCUGAAUUAUUCACCCUUGUCUUUUGCGUACUUCUUGUUUCCUUGGUGGGUUCGCCCACCAAUAGGACAAACAUAUAAACCUUUUGUAAUUGCAAUCAGCGUCAGUAACAAAUUAAUAAUUACAACUUUCAACAACGGAUCUCUUGGUUCUGGCAUCGAUGAAGAACGCAGCGAAAUGCGAUAAGUAGUGUGAAUUGCAGAAUUCAGUGAAUCAUCGAAUCUUUGAACGCACAUUGCGCCCUUUGGUAUUCCAAAGGGCAUGCCUGUUCGAGCGUCAUUUGUACCCUCAAGCUUUGCUUGGUGUUGGGCGUCUUGUCUCUAGCUUUGCUGGAGACUCGCCUUAAAGUAAUUGGCAGCCGGCCUACUGGUUUCGGAGCGCAGCACAAGUCGCACUCUCUAUCAGCAAAGGUCUAGCAUCCAUUAAGCCUUUUUUUCAACUUUUGACCUCGGAUCAGGUAGGGAUACCCGCUGAACUUAAGCAUAUCAAUAAGCGGAGGAAU